GACGAACGCUGGCGGCGUGCUUAACACAUGCAAGUCGAACGGAAAGGCCCUGCUUGCAGGGUACUCGAGUGGCGAACGGGUGAGUAACACGUGGGUGAUCUGCCCUGCACUUCGGGAUAAGCCUGGGAAACUGGGUCUAAUACCGGAUAGGAGCCAUUUUUAGUGUGAUGGUUGGAAAGUUUUUUCGGUGUAGGAUGAGCUCGCGGCCUAUCAGCUUGUUGGUGGGGUAAUGGCCUACCAAGGCGGCGACGGGUAGCCGGCCUGAGAGGGUGGACGGCCACAUUGGGACUGAGAUACGGCCCAGACUCCUACGGGAGGCAGCAGUGGGGAAUAUUGCACAAUGGGCGCAAGCCUGAUGCAGCGACGCCGCGGGGGGGAUGACGGCCUUCGGGUUGAAAACUCCUUUCGCUAGGGACGAAGCUUUUUGUGACGGUACCUAGAUAAGAAGCACCGGCUAACUACGUG
This 465-nucleotide ribosomal RNA is filed under the name uncultured bacterium. RNAcentral describes it as "partial 16S ribosomal RNA". It matches the Rfam family "Bacterial small subunit ribosomal RNA", at positions 28 to 507 of the family's 1533-position model. The record is from RNAcentral.